This 464-nucleotide ribosomal RNA is filed under the name uncultured Klebsiella sp. RNAcentral describes it as "bacterial SSU rRNA". It matches the Rfam family "Bacterial small subunit ribosomal RNA", at positions 338 to 795 of the family's 1533-position model. The record is from RNAcentral. Lineage: Bacteria; Pseudomonadati; Pseudomonadota; Gammaproteobacteria; Enterobacterales; Enterobacteriaceae.
CCUACGGGCGGCACAGUGGGGAAUAUUGCACAAUGGGCGCAAGCCUGAUGCAGCCAUGCCGCGUGUGUGAAGAAGGCCUUCGGGUUGUAAAGCACUUUCAGCGGGGAGGAAGGCGGUGAGGUUAAUAACCUCAUCGAUUGACGUUACCCGCAGAAGAAGCACCGGCUAACUCCGUGCCAGCAGCCGCGGUAAUACGGAGGGUGCAAGCGUUAAUCGGAAUUACUGGGCGUAAAGCGCACGCAGGCGGUCUGUCAAGUCGGAUGUGAAAUCCCCGGGCUCAACCUGGGAACUGCAUUCGAAACUGGCAGGCUAGAGUCUUGUAGAGGGGGGUAGAAUUCCAGGUGUAGCGGUGAAAUGCGUAGAGAUCUGGAGGAAUACCGGUGGCGAAGGCGGCCCCCUGGACAAAGACUGGCGCUCAGGUGCGAAGGCGUGGGGAGCAAACAGGAUUAGAUACCCGUGUAGUC